UGGAGAAAGGCAGAGAGGCAGGCAGUGCGAGGGACAGGGAGCAUACCUGCCACUCUGCCAGCACUCCG
This is a microRNA precursor of Bison bison bison, 68 nucleotides long. The record is from Ensembl. NCBI's taxonomy places the organism in Eukaryota, Metazoa, Chordata, Mammalia, Artiodactyla, Bovidae.